RNAcentral lists this ribosomal RNA (200 nucleotides) under uncultured bacterium. RNAcentral describes it as "partial 16S ribosomal RNA". It matches the Rfam family "Bacterial small subunit ribosomal RNA", at positions 8 to 212 of the family's 1533-position model. The record is from RNAcentral.
AGAGUUUGAUCAUGGCUCAGGACGAACGCUGGCGGCGUGCUUAACACAUGCAAGUCGAACGAUGAAGCCUUCGGGUGGAUUAGUGGCGAACGGGUGAGUAACACGUGGGCAAUCUGCCCUGCACUCUGGGACAAGCCCUGGAAACGGGGUCUAAUACCGGAUAGGACUCCGAGAUGCAUGUCUUGGGGUGGAAAGUUUUU